Molecule: transfer RNA, 93 nt
Filed under: Salmonella enterica subsp. enterica
Lineage: Bacteria; Pseudomonadati; Pseudomonadota; Gammaproteobacteria; Enterobacterales; Enterobacteriaceae
Description: tRNA-Ser
Source: RNAcentral
GGUGAGAAUUAGCCGGAGGCUGAAGGCUCCCCUGCUAUGAGGGAGCAUGCGGUCAAAAGCUGCAUCCGGGGUUCGAAUCCCGCCUCACCGCCA